GUCUUGCUGCUGCCUCUUUUGCUGACUGUAAUUGGACUUUGAAGCUUCGAAGUUAUAUCAUAAAAAUUUGUAACCUUUGUCUGAGAGAGAGCUCAGCUAAGCAAUCACUUUCCACUUCUUUUCACAGGAUAAUAUAAACGUUUUCUUGAAAGCUUGUGAACAGAUUGGAUUGAAAGAAGCCCAGCUUUUCCAUCCUGGAGAUCUACAGGAUUUAUCAAAUCGAGUCACUGUCAAGCAAGAAGAGACUGACAGGAGAGUGAAAAAUGUUUUGAUAACAUUGUACUGGCUGGGAAGAAAAGCACAAAGCAACCCGUACUAUAAUGGUCCCCAUCUUAAUUUGAAAGCGUUUGAGAAUCUUUUAGGACAAGCACUGACGAAGGCACUCGAAGACUCCAGCUUCCUGAAAAGAAGUGGCAGGGACAGUGGCUACGGUGACAUCUGGUGUCCUGAACGUGGAGAAUUUCUUGCUCCUCCAAGGCACCAUAAGAGAGAAGAUUCCUUUGAAAGCUUGGACUCUUUGGGCUCGAGGUCAUUGACAAGCUGCUCCUCUGAUAUCACGUUGAGAGGGGGGCGUGAAGGUUUUGAAAGUGACACAGAUUCGGAAUUUACAUUUAAGAUGCAGGAUUAUAAUAAAGAUGAUAUGUCGUAUCGAAGGAUUUCGGCUGUUGAGCCAAAGACUGCGUUACCCUUCAAUCGUUUUUUACCCAACAAAAGUAGACAGCCAUCCUAUGUACCAGCACCUCUGAGAAAGAAAAAGCCAGACAAACAUGAGGAUAACAGAAGAAGUUGGGCAAGCCCGGUUUAUACAGAAGCAGAUGGAACAUUUUCAAGGAGUAAGUCCAUGAGUGAUGUCAGCGCAGAAGAUGUUCAAAACUUGCGUCAGCUGCGUUACGAGGAGAUGCAG
RNAcentral lists this long non-coding RNA (904 nucleotides) under Homo sapiens (human). RNAcentral describes it as "HSALNT0203802". Lineage: Eukaryota; Metazoa; Chordata; Mammalia; Primates; Hominidae. The record is from RNAcentral.